Molecule: long non-coding RNA, 1357 nt
Organism: Pseudopipra pipra
Lineage: Eukaryota; Metazoa; Chordata; Aves; Passeriformes; Pipridae
Exons: 3
Source: RefSeq, a predicted model, not a curated record
AAUCUGCUGUACAUGCAGGGAGAGAUUACUCAGCUGUCACUCUGCAGAAAACAUCCCUAUCAUGCAGCAGGAGGUAUCCGUAACAAAUUGCUGACAUCCAAAUUCAGCCCUGCACAAAUGGAUGUGUAAGAUGCCUGCUGCUCCCCACGUUGAAACCAGACCAUGGAGGAUCAGAGGCAUUGACACAGCAGAAGGAAAUGAGCAGAAAAUGACCCAAGUAGAGCAGGUGCCAUUAGAAAAUAAUUAUUUCUGAGCUGCUGUUCUCUGUUCACAAAUAUUUCCCCUUUUCAGCACAAAUGCAGUGGCCCGAGAAAGGAUUUUUGUGGGUCAGUUGGAUGUGUUCCCUGCUUCAUACUGAGGCUCUGAGAUGGACCCGAGAUUUACACUUCAAUUUCUGGGAACAGAAAGUAAUCAGAAGUUUUUCCAGCUAUCUAAAGCACAGACCCACGGAACCAAUUUUAAUUAGAAAGCCUAGUGGGAAAAGCUCUGCAGGAGCUCCAGUCACAGUUGGCCGGGCCCCUGGCUGGGUGAGCUGGGACCUGGCUGAGGGCAGGACCUGCUUGCAAGGAGAGGCUGCCAAGAUUGUGCUGAGAGGUCUGUUUUGGAGGCUCUGCUCUUACCCAGGCUGUGCUUCAGCCAGGAAAUGAAAGGUGUCUCAACCAGAAAAGCUUAAGUUCAGAGAAAUACCAAAUGGGGGAGAACCUCCCAAGCGGUUAAAUACUGGUUUUUGACAAAUUUUUUACAAACUCAAAAAGCCUUUAAAAGGAAUAUUUUCUUUUUUAAACCUUCCAACCCAGUUUAUUUGAUUUAAAAAAAAAAAAGAGGUGUGAAUUCUUGAUGUGAAAUUCAGGCUCAGAAGUGGCACAAGGAUAAACUGCACCUAGAGGCACUGGGCCCCGCUGUCACCCAGGCAGGAUGGGGGAGACACAUCACACCUUGCUCCAACCUCUGUGAAGGUGAACUUCGGUCCAUCGCUCGUGUUAUUGGUGAUAAAAGAAAUGUGCUGCUGGAGGAGGUGUAAGAGGAAUUCACAGACUUUCCUUAGGCACUGUGAAAUAGCUCAGUAACCUUGGUGUGAACGUACAAUCCGUCAUUCGGUUUUUCAAAAUGCAACAUGCAAAAAGACCCAGAGGAUGCAAUAUGAACCUCACUGAGGUGGACAUUGGGUUAUGUUCUGCCUUAUACCUGCAAGAACACAAAAAUUAAUAAUAUUAGGCGCAACUCUGCCUUCCUGUGCUGUUUCUCCUUCUGCCAGGCAGAAACAGCACCAAGAAGUGGCAGCAGAUUUCAGGAAAAAAAAAUACACUUUCUGGUUUUCUUCAACAAUUAAAAUUAAAGCAAAUUUUACCAAAAUGUA